UACGUAGGGGGCAAGCGUUGUCCGGAAUCAUUGGGCGUAAAGCGCGCGUAGGCGGCCCGGUAAGUCCGCUGUGAAAGUCCAGGGCUCAACCCUGGAAAGCCGGUGGAUACUGCCGGGCUAGAGUCCGGAAGAGGCGAGUGGAAUUCUUGGUGUAGCGGUGGAAUGCGCAGAUAUCAGGAGGAACACCAAUAGCGAAGGCAGCUCGCUGGGACGGUACUGACGCUGAGGUGCGAAAGCGUGGGGAGCAAACAGG
RNAcentral lists this ribosomal RNA (253 nucleotides) under uncultured bacterium. RNAcentral's name for it is "partial 16S ribosomal RNA". It matches the Rfam family "Bacterial small subunit ribosomal RNA", at positions 524 to 776 of the family's 1533-position model. The record is from RNAcentral.